AGCAGCCGCGGUAAUUCCAGCUCCAAUAGCGUAUAUUAAAGUUGUUGCAGUUAAAAAGCUCGUAGUUGAAUUUCGGGGUCAGUAGGUUGGUCAUGCCACUGGUAUGUACUGGCCUCACUGAUUCCUCCUUCCUGAUGAGCCGUAAUGCCAUUAAUUUGGUGUUGCGAGGAAUCUGGACUGUUACUUUGAAAAAAUUAGAGUGUUUAAAGCAGGCUAACGCUUGAAUACAUUAGCAUGGAAUAAUGAAAUAGGACGUUCGAUCUUAUUUUGUUGGUUUCUAAGAUUGACGUAAUGAUUAAUAGGGAUAGUUGGGGGCAUUAGUAUUCAAUUGUCAGAGGUGAAAUUCUUGGAUUUAUUGAAGACUAACUACUGCGAAAGCAUUUGCCAAGGAUGUUUCAUUAAUCAAGAACGAAAGUUAGGGAUCGAAGACGAUCAGAUACCGUCGUAGUCUUAACCAUAAACUAUGCCGACUAGGGAUCGGAUGAUGUUAAUUUUAAUGAUCAUUC
RNAcentral lists this ribosomal RNA (506 nucleotides) under uncultured Glomus. RNAcentral describes it as "SSU rRNA". It matches the Rfam family "Eukaryotic small subunit ribosomal RNA", at positions 569 to 1081 of the family's 1831-position model. Lineage: Eukaryota; Fungi; Glomeromycota; Glomeromycetes; Glomerales; Glomeraceae. The record is from RNAcentral.